This 460-nucleotide ribosomal RNA is filed under the name uncultured bacterium. RNAcentral's name for it is "partial 16S ribosomal RNA". It matches the Rfam family "Bacterial small subunit ribosomal RNA", at positions 338 to 795 of the family's 1533-position model. The record is from RNAcentral.
CCUACGGGAGGCAGCAGUGAGGAAUAUUGGUCAAUGGCCGUAAGGCUGAACCAGCCAAGUCGCGUGAGGGAAGACGGUCCUACGGAUUGUAAACCUCUUUUGCCGGGGAGCAACGGGGUCCUUGCGAGGGCCCAAUGAGAGUACCCGGAGAAAAAGCAUCGGCUAACUCCGUGCCAGCAGCCGCGGUAAUACGGAGGAUGCGAGCGUUAUCCGGAUUUAUUGGGUUUAAAGGGUGCGUAGGCGGGCUGUUAAGUCAGCGGUCAAAUGUCGGGGCUCAACCCCGGCCUGCCGUUGAAACUGGCGGCCUCGAGUGGGCGAGAAGUAUGCGGAAUGCGUGGUGUAGCGGUGAAAUGCAUAGAUAUCACGCAGAACUCCGAUUGCGAAGGCAGCAUACCGGCGCCCGACUGACGCUGAGGCACGAAAGCGUGGGGAUCGAACAGGAUUAGAUACCCCAGUAGUC